This is a long non-coding RNA of Cyanistes caeruleus (blue tit), 546 nucleotides long. RefSeq lists it as uncharacterized. The record is from RefSeq and is a predicted model, not a curated record. NCBI's taxonomy places the organism in Eukaryota, Metazoa, Chordata, Aves, Passeriformes, Paridae.
GGUGGUUGCAGUUUGGCUAAUGAGCCUUUUUUCAUAAUGUGGCUGAUUAUCUCAGGAGACAUGAGCUGAAGGGUCUGCAUUAAUCCCAGUCUGAAACAAACCCAGGAACAGAACUCUGAGGCCUGUGUUUUCUGUUGGGAAAUGUGCCUGUCCCAGGGACUCAGGUGGAGAGCUGCUGUGCUGUCCAGGGACCAGAUCAGCUGGAGGAAGACCAGAAGCAAAUAAUGACAGCACAGCAGCAGCUUGCAACUGAACUGGAAGGUGAAAAUAAUAAAUUCAUGUUAAAAAGAAAUUACUGAAGAUAUUGCAGUGAAGAGGAAAGAAGAAAAACACAAGAGGGUGUUAACCUCAACAUAGUAGCAGUAACUAGGUGGUUGUUUGGUCACCACAUAAACCGAUGGAUCACACAGCCUAAAGAAAGUAUAGACCUUUGUGAAAUACUAAGUGCAGUAGAAGAACUUCAGUCCAAUUCUUGUUUGUAAAAUAAAUUGUUUUGUUUUAAGUAAAGUUAGACAAGUCUUCAACACCUGUGAACCACUCCCUGGA